RNAcentral lists this ribosomal RNA (1034 nucleotides) under Candidatus Woesebacteria bacterium GW2011_GWA1_40_45. RNAcentral's name for it is "bacterial SSU rRNA". It matches the Rfam family "Bacterial small subunit ribosomal RNA", at positions 1 to 1148 of the family's 1533-position model. Lineage: Bacteria; Candidatus Woeseibacteriota. The record is from RNAcentral.
UUUGAGGAUUUGAUCCUGGUCCAGGAUGAACGCUGGCGGCGUGCCUUAGGCAUGCAAGUGGGGCGAGUAGUUGAGUGUUGUGAGUUGCGCGAGCCGCGAACGGCUGAGUAUAUGGUAAGAAUCUACCUCUUGGUAAAGAAUACCUCACCGAAAGGUGAGCUAAUACUAUAUAAGAUCGUAAGAUGAAAGGACGUAACUGUCCGCCGAGAAAUGAGCUUACUUCCCAUCAGCUUGUUGGUAGGGUAAUGGCCUACCAAGGCUACGACGGGUAGGGGACGUGAGAGCGUGACCCCCCAGAACGGGACUGAGACACGGCCCGUCGUGAGGGAUGAAGGCCUUCGGGUUGUAAACCUCUUUUGCCAAGCAGUAAAUAGCUUGGAGAAUAAGCACCUGCUAACUCUGUGCCAGCAGCAGCGGUAAGACAGAGGGUGCAAGCGUUAUCCGGAUUUAUUGGGCGUAAAGCGUUUCGUAGGCGAUUUGGUAAGUUACACUUUAAAUACCAGAGCUUAACUUUGGAAAGGGGUGCAAUACUGCCAGAAUAGAAAUAUCUCGGGGUUUACCGGAACUCACGGUGUAGGAGUGAAAUCCGUUGAUAUCGUGAGGAACACCAAGGGCGAAGGCGGGUAACUAGGGAUUUUUUGACGCUGAUGAACGAAAGCUAGGGGAGCGAAAGGGAUUAGAGACCCCUGUAGUCCUAGCUGUAAACUUUGCUCGCUAGGGAUGCGCAAUUUAUUGUGCGUUCCGCAAGCUAACGCGUUAAGCGAGCCGCCUGGGGAGUACGAGCGCAAGCUUAAAACUCAAAGGAAUUGACGGGGAGGCGCACAACCAGUGGAGCAUGUGGUUUAAUUCGAGAGUAACCGAAGAACCUUACCCGGGUUUGACAUGCUACCGUUUUAGUCCACCAGAAAUGGAGGAUGAUUCGUAAGAAAGGUAGCACAGGUGUUGCAUGGCCGUCGUCAGCUCGUGCCGUGGGGUGUUCCCUUCAGUGGGGUAACGAGCGCAACCCCUGCCGUAUGUUGAAUAUUCAUACGGGA